Molecule: long non-coding RNA, 2492 nt
Organism: Micropterus salmoides (largemouth bass)
Lineage: Eukaryota; Metazoa; Chordata; Actinopteri; Centrarchiformes; Centrarchidae
Exons: 3
Source: RefSeq, a predicted model, not a curated record
AGUAUCGUUAGCAAGUCUGAUCAGUGGCUUUAGACAGACGGUGUCCAACAUAAAAAGGAUUUACUGGCAGUACUGGCACAGAACGCAUGGGCCCAAUGAUAACUUUGCUAUAUUUGGAGCUUAACAAGAUAUUUAGGGCUUACAAACUGUAACUGUAACCGUGAUAAACAGCAGACUACAGGCAACAGACACACAGAGAGAGUGAGAGCCGGCAGCUCCAGCUACAACACAGCAGAGGCCCAGCAUCACCAGUCCAAACCCGAAGACCGCGAGGCUCAAACUGAUCAACAUCUGCGUGUUCAGACAGAACAAAUGCACUGCUGAUGAGUAGGAUCAUUCUUUCGGCAUUACCAAAAUCAACAUUCUGUGAAUUUAAUUUUAUGUAGUGAUAUUUGUUUUUAAUCUGGUGGCUACAUAAGAGGGUUUUUUUUCAUUAAAGUUUCAUUAAAUAUUAGUGCAUCAGUACAUUCCCAAACCCAUCACUUCCUAAACCAAACCAUACUCUGUAAAGAAGAUUCAUCCUGUGGUCUUGCUGGUCAGAUACAGUCUGGCUCUGUUGGUUUUCAGUAGCGUCCCACUGGGCCAGAGAGCUUUCGUAGUCCAGAUUGAGAAUCCCAAUGGGUAAAACCCGGAUCCCCCAGUAAACACUCUUCACCCUGCGGAAGGUGGCAUCCUGCACAACACAGCGGUAAGUACCUAAAAGUGAAAGCUGAUUAAUUGGCACAUUAUUCAAAUUAUGGGUUUACGUGACUGACAAGCAGUCAAGUGUGUGUGUGUGUGUGUGUGUGUGAGAGAGAGACCAUGCAUGUGUGUCAAUUGUGCGGGUAUGUCUCUGUUAGAUUUAAUCAAAUUUCAAUACUUCUUCCAAAGAUAUCAUAAUGAAAUAUUAAAUUACAUUUAUUUAUUAGACUGAUUUAUUUUAACAGUUUAACAGGUCACCUAAAAAUGAAAUGUUGUCAUUGUUAUAGUUAGCUACUAGUUUAAAACACAUUUUAUGGUAAAGCUAAUUUAUUUAAACAUCAUUUUCUUUUAAAUGUGUCUUUACUUACUUGAGAAUGAGGAACUGUAGAGUCUGACAUACACAUAAGUUCCUCCAACCUUAUCUUUUUUGGAUGUUCAGUUGCCAAAUACAACUUUCUCACAAAAAUUCUCACAAAACCCACUGGCCAACCUCCCCUUAAGAGCUCAGGUUUUAAACUUAAAUCAUAUGUACAAUUCAGACUGUGUUUGAGUACCUGCAAAGGUGUGUUUACCUGCGUCCUCCUCCCUGACGGGGUCCAGAACCACUCGGUCCAGCAGAGGAGCAUCCCAGCGAGUAAAGAGAGAGUCAUCAGAGCUGAUUAUUCCUCGAGCGUAACGCCAGGACACUCUGAGCCGUAAAAGAAAAAAUUCCACUGAACACUGCCCCCAAUAAAAAGUUGUUGCAUUUACAGGAUUACCAACUGGCCAAAGUGGGCUACUAUCUCAGGGCCCUGGACCCCUGUGGGGCCUCAAAAGGUCACGGUUCACUGGCAAUUACUUUGUGUUUAUUUGAUGAAUUAAUAUACACCGAAAUUUCCUAAAGACUAAUUUCAUACCAGGCUGAAAAGCAGUGUUUCACAGCCCGCUCCAGUUCCAGCCUGUUUCACCUCUGGCCACAGCCAGCAUCAUGGAUAGGUGUGGUUGGGUUUGGUCACACCCACCAGUGAUGUCCCAGAAUCAUAAAGUACACCUGUACAUCACUACAGCAAGGUGAGACAUUAAACCACUGGAGGUUAGCAAAAACAAGGUCCUAUUUGUAGUGAGCUCCUGUUUCAGAAUCUAGUUUUUAUACCUUUAUUAAUAAUUCAGUGACUUUAAUGCUUUAAUAAUGCAUAUUCUUGAAUAAAUUUACAUUUAGUCAACUUAUUACUAAACUAUGGGAAUAUGAAAGGACUCGGUAUUAGGGAGGCUAAAUAUGGGCCCACAGCAAAAUUUUGCCUUGGGGCAAACCUGGUGGGUAAAUCCAGCCCUGGGCUGAGGAAACUAGGCUAAACACACUUUAAAAAAAACACAUAUCAUCACAAAACUUUCCAUUGCAUUCUGCAAUUGGUAUCUAACUUUACAAGAUAAGACUCACAUCGAGCCAACAUUUACAUUUUUCCCAUUGUUUGCAAUCAAAAGGACAAGAAUCACUUCUCUCCUACAUCCUUACCUCCAGGAGAACCUCCCCAUCGCCUCCAUGACUUCUUCCAGACAGUCGAUCUCAACUCUCUGUCCUGAAGUCACAGUCAUAGUCCUGAGUCCACACUGCAGCGACUCCCGACAUGACACCUUAUGGACACGACACUUCUUCGACACCUUCAAUUAAUCCAUUUCACAUGCAGAUGAUGUAAACACAGGGUUUGAGUUUUCACACCGAGCCCACAGGUGGCGCUGCAGGGGGAGCUGUCAACAAUGACCUCCACCGGCACUUCAUCCGCAUCCUCCAGGUCAACUGAGGUCAGAGGACAGAGGACGAGGAGGAGGAGGAG